This 116-nucleotide ribozyme is filed under the name Aedes aegypti (yellow fever mosquito). RNAcentral describes it as "drz-agam-1 ribozyme". It matches the Rfam family "drz-agam-1 ribozyme". Lineage: Eukaryota; Metazoa; Arthropoda; Insecta; Diptera; Culicidae. The record is from Rfam by way of RNAcentral.
UGCCCAGCAACUCCUAUCCCUACCUCCUCGUGGUACUGGCCGGGGUAGGAGCAACCUUAGGGAAGAUCGGGUAAACAACCCAGGUGGGAACUUUGGUAGUAUGCUGACAGCGAAGG